This 113-nucleotide small RNA is filed under the name Marmota monax (woodchuck). The record is from RNAcentral. Lineage: Eukaryota; Metazoa; Chordata; Mammalia; Rodentia; Sciuridae.
GCCAGGUGCAGUGGUGCACGCCUGUAAUCCCAGCUGUUCCGGAGGCUGAGGCAGGAGGAUCACGAGUUCAAAGCCAGCCUCAGCAAAAACAACUCAGUGAGACCCUGUCUCUA